GGCAGCUCAGUCCAGUUUUAUGUACUGCCUACAACAUGUGGGAAGUCCUAGAUGCCGAAAACACCUUUUUCCACUGGGGAGUGCAGCCACGCUCAUGGGACUGUUUCAGAGGUUUAAGAAUCAAAAAAUGGAUUAUUUGGUCUCCAACAAUGAAUGCAAGACUUGCUAACUGAAUUGCUUUCCGGGAAAUACAGAGAGGAGUUUUAAAAACUGGUUCUUCCAAGCAGAA
Molecule: long non-coding RNA, 229 nt
Organism: Carcharodon carcharias (great white shark)
Lineage: Eukaryota; Metazoa; Chordata; Chondrichthyes; Lamniformes; Lamnidae
Exons: 2
Source: RefSeq, a predicted model, not a curated record